AGUGAACGCUGGCGGUAGGCCUAACACAUGCAAGUCGAACGGCAGCACAGGAGAGCUUGCUCUCUGGGUGGCGAGUGGCGGACGGGUGAGGAAUACAUCGGAAUCUACUCUGUCGUGGGGGAUAACGUAGGGAAACUUACGCUAAUACCGCAUACGACCUACGGGUGAAAGCAGGGGACCUUCGGGCCUUGCGCGAUUGAAUGAGCCGAUGUCGGAUUAGCUAGUUGGCGGGGUAAAGGCCCACCAAGGCGACGAUCCGUAGCUGGUCUGAGAGGAGGGUCAGCCACACUGGAACUGAGACACGGUCCAGACUCCUACGGGAGGCAGCAGUGGGGAAGAUUGGAUAAUGGGCGCAAGCCUGAUCCAGCCAUACCGCGUGGGUGAAGAAGGCCUUCGGGUUGUAAAGCCCUUUUGUUGGGAAAGAAAUCCAGCUGGCUAAUACCCGGUUGGGAUGACGGUACCCAAAGAAUAAGCACCGGCUAACUUCGUGCCAGCCGCCGCGGUAA
Molecule: ribosomal RNA, 506 nt
Filed under: uncultured bacterium
Lineage: Bacteria
Description: partial 16S ribosomal RNA
Rfam family: Bacterial small subunit ribosomal RNA
Source: RNAcentral